AGGAUUAACGCUGGCGGCGUGCAUGAAACAUGCAAGUCGAGCGCGGUGUGAUGCGGGGUAACCCAAUUCACAUCUAGCGGCGAACGGGUGAGUAACACGUGAGCAACCUACCUUUGAGUUGGGGAUAGCCCUGGGAAACCAGGAUUAAUACCCGAUGUGGUCACAACAGGACAUCCUGAUGUGAGUAAAGGCGUAAGCCGCUCAAUGACGGGCUCGCGGCCUAUUAGCUUGUUGGUGGGGUAACGGCCUACCAAGGCGAUGAUGGGUAGCUGGUCUGAGAGGACGAUCAGCCACACUGGGACUGAGACACGGCCCAGACUCCUACGGGAGGCAGCAGUUAGGAAUUUUCCGCAAUGGGCGAAAGCCUGACGGAGCAACGCCGCGUGAGUGAUGAAGACCUUCGGGUUGUAAAGCUCUGUCGGAGGGAAGAACACAAUGACGGUACCUCCAAGAAAGCCCGGCUAACUACGUGCCAGCAGCCGCGGUAA
RNAcentral lists this ribosomal RNA (488 nucleotides) under uncultured bacterium. RNAcentral describes it as "SSU rRNA". It matches the Rfam family "Bacterial small subunit ribosomal RNA", at positions 26 to 523 of the family's 1533-position model. The record is from RNAcentral.